Molecule: ribosomal RNA, 253 nt
Filed under: uncultured bacterium
Lineage: Bacteria
Description: partial 16S ribosomal RNA
Rfam family: Bacterial small subunit ribosomal RNA
Source: RNAcentral
UACGUAGGGGGCAAGCGUUGUCCGGAUUUAUUGGGCGUAAAGAGCGUGUAGGCGGUUUGGUAGGUCCGUUGUGAAAACUCGAGGCUCAACCUCGAGACGCCGAUGGAAACCAUCAGACUAGAGUCCGGAAGAGGAGAGUGGAAUUCCUGGUGUAGCGGUGAAAUGCGCAGAUAUCGGGAGGAACACCGAUGGCGAAGGCAGCUCGCUGGGACGGUACUGGCGCUGAGGCGCGAAAGCGUGGGGAGCAAACAGG